UUCAAGUAAAUGUGCCACCUCCUUACCUC
This 29-nucleotide non-coding RNA is filed under the name Rattus norvegicus (Norway rat). Lineage: Eukaryota; Metazoa; Chordata; Mammalia; Rodentia; Muridae. The record is from RNAcentral.